Molecule: long non-coding RNA, 2280 nt
Organism: Ctenopharyngodon idella (grass carp)
Lineage: Eukaryota; Metazoa; Chordata; Actinopteri; Cypriniformes; Xenocyprididae
Exons: 4
Source: RefSeq, a predicted model, not a curated record
UUUCUAACUAAAUCGAUCUAUCUAUCUAUCUACCAUCUCAUAGCAACCACCUAGAACAACCUAGCAACCGCCUAGCAACCACACAAAUCACCCUGGCAACAUCCUAGUAACCAGCCCGAGUGCCUUAGCAACCACAUAGGAACACCCUAGCAACCACCCAGAAUUCCUUAGCAACCGUAUAGCAACACCUUAGCAACCACCCUGAGUACCCUAGCAACCACAUAGCAACACCCUAGCAACCACCCCGAGUACCCUAGCAACCGUAUAGCAACACCUUAGCAACCACCCUGAGUACCCUAGCAACCGCAUAGCAACACCCUACCAACCAUCCAAAAUACCUUAGCAACCACAUAGCAACACCCUAGCAACCACCCCUAGUACCUUAGCAACCACAAAGCAAAACCCCAGCAACCAUAUAAAACCCUUGCAACCACUCAGAGUACCCUGACUCUAUCUAUCUAUCUAUCUAUCUAUCUAUCUGUCUGUCUGUCUGUCUGUCUUUUAAACUACUAAACUAAAACUUAAACUUUCAAACUUUCAAACUUCAAACUUUUAAAACUACUUCAAACUUUCUGGACCGGCUUUUUCAAGCCAACUUAAAGUUUGUCUAAAAACUUUUUUAUUUUAUUAUUAUUAUUAUUAUUUAUUUUUAUUUUUUUUUACACACAUUAUAUGACUGUCUUUAAUUUUAAGUUACAUAAAAAUUGACAAUUACAAUUCUCAACCGCUAGAUGGCAACUGUGGCUCUACUGAGACAUGACUACUGGCAACGCGAGACUUGUUAGUUAGUAGAGAUCACUGUUCCCAGAUCUCGCGAUGAACAUUUCCACCAUUUUACAACUGUCGGACAGCAAGCAAGAGCAAAUGUUGAAGCAAAUUCUUUCCUGCUUUUGGUCUUGCUAUUUUCUUACUCAUAGUUUUCAGUCAGGCGACUGGAGCAGAGACCUGGAGGGCAAAACAUCCAUAGAACUGCAGGACAGGCCUGUCAAUUGCGUCUCAAAAAAGCACCCGAGCCAUCACGGACAUGGAAAGGUCUUGACACCUUGCCAAGAGCUGGAUUUUUUUGUGGAUGAAGUGACAGAUGGUCCUGAAGGGAAGACCAAGGUAGGCUAUGUCCACAUAUGACGACACACAUAUAUGUGCCAUUUUUUCAGUACCCAAACUCAACCGAGCCAUUACUGGAACAAAGGUUAGUUGUAUUUAAUCGUUUAUAUGCCUUCUGUUGCUAGGUCAGUCUUAUGUUUGUAAAAAAAAAAAAAAAAAAAAAAAAAAAAAAACUUUGUGGCAUUUUUUUCAACAUCAUAAUUUUGAGCUUUUUCAGGCCACAUUCACACAGCAGCAGAAUACGGUAGUCACUCCUGUCUUUGAGUCCUUAAUAUGGUUAUGUUCACAUACAGUACGGUUAUUUACGCAUUCAACCGCAUUCUAUAACCGAACUCACACCCGUACAUUUUCAGGACUCACAACUGCAUUCUCGGAAUAUUUGAGCUGUGUGAACGGAACUGGACAACUAGUUGUCUGUCAUGUCAUACAGUUCGAGUGUUUUGUUUGUGGUUUCGCUUUCGGUAACUUAAGCCCCGGGUAUACUCGCGGCCGGCCGCACGCCCCGUCCGCGUGCAGCCCAAAUGUCGCCUUAGGGGCUGGCUGCAGCGUGUGGAGUUCCACUUAAGGGCGGAAAUACGUCACCUCCACUAGAGGAGCUAGCUACUGUGGCCGCUGGGCAUGCGCACAUCAAUAUUGCGUCAUUUAAUUACUGUAUUUGCAUUAUUGUAAGGGUAGGUUUAGGGUUGGGGUAGGUGUAGACGUUAGUAAAACACAAGUGGAGGUGACGUAUUUCCUGUUCGAGAGUGGAGCUCCACUCGCCCAUGGUCUGGCAGCCAGACCCUUCUCAAAUUUCGAGAUCGUGCGGACAGCAAUACGCACAGUACUGAGCGCAAUCUGCAGUCGUCGAAGAAGAGUGUGUAAAGAGCGAUUCAAAAACAAGACGAGUAAACACUUCCUGUUCUCUUGGUGUAUCUUCUGAACUAUGUUGCAAUGGUGAAUGCACUAUUUUUCUUCUCCGAUCCUGCACAGCGAAUGUCCGGUUGAUGACACGAGGCGUUUCUCAAUACCAAGUUCGCAAAGUUCAGAGUUGCAUCCUUGGUAGUUAGGACUUGGCAAGUUCAACUCAGGAGAACGGACUCCCGUGAACGGGAGAACACAAGUCCGGUGAUUCAGCAAAUGGCACAGCAGCAUACUUGAUAAUGUCACUCAGCUCUCCGGUUAUCUCUGUGUAUAUUU